AGAAAGAGCUCAUCAACAGGGGGCUCCGGGGAAGGCGCCGACAGACGCUCCGGGCCCUCUGCCUGUGACAAUCUCAUUAGGCACGGCGCGUUGGAAUCACGAGGAAAGCGAAUGCCGGAGGGUCGGGGCAUAUGCUGAAAUGCUCCACCAUCAAUAUGCGCUGAAGAGCCUAUUUAAGGACACCCCUAUCGUUUUUUUUGUUAAAGUUUGGAGGCAUUACAUAGAGAUUUUCUAACGUUCAAAGAACAAAGCCUCUGGAGCGGGGACGUCCGGGAGCAGCAGCGAGCUCUACCUACCAUGGGGGCCACCUUUCCCAGCUCGCCUCCGCGUCCCUGACCAGCAGCUGGAGCCAGUCAAAGACGACCCGGCUCCUUCCUGCUUCCUCGCCGGCGCGCACACACUCCAUAUUUGGUCAUCCUGGCUCCAAGUUGGGGAGCUUUCCCGGAAGGGGUCCCGGGACCCUGUCCCCCGCAGGUCACACGGUUACCCCCGCCCCGGUGCAGAGUUGGGGAGCGCAGGGCUCGGUCCCCGUUCCGGGCAGCACAGCGGACCCGGGGUGGUCUCCCGGGAAGGCCCGCGUCCCGGAAGCCUUUGUCUGGGCAACUCCCGCCUCCGUGCUACCCGAGGCCCUUGCAAGCCAGCGCGCCGCCAGGCGAGCGCCCGAACCGGCCGCAGAAACAGACCCGGCCAGGGGCUCCGCGAGCCCCUCGGGUGCUCUCACCACCAUGCACCACCAUGCACCCCAGGCGCACCCUGGAGCGCGCCGCGCCGCGCCCAACGCCCGCGCUGCAAAAGGCGUCCCUCAACGCUUCGGGGGCUCUCCCCUCACCCCAGCCCUUCCCUGCCUAGCCUUGCUGCAUCGGCUCCCGAGCCAAGUGCAGAGCGGACACGCUGCCCCGCUUAAAAACGGUGACAUCUCUGCUCGCUUCCCGGUCUGCCCCCGGCCGGCUACGGUCACGUGAGCCGAGCGCCGAAGCCCGCCGGCGAGGGGCAGCAGGGUGCACGCCGCUCCUCGGGCGCCGUCUCCGCCCAGGUCUGGCGGUGCUGAGCUGAGCCCGCUCUGGGGACCCGGGUCCCAGCCCACGAUUCCCCUGGCUGCUGCGCCUUCGCCGGGUACCCGGGUCCAUCCUUUACACGUGGCCACAUCUUCCCCGGGGACUCGCUCACCUCUCCGCCUCCUUUUAUUUUUUGAUGAAAAACUGGGGUACGUCGGUCCGGACCUGGCUAUCUUCUCCAACGCACUGGGGAGGAAGAGGCUGAGGAAGGAAGUGACAAAGAGAAGGGCUGGAGCAGGCGCCGCCAGAAAACUGCCACUGAUGACAGCAGGAUGGUUCCAUUUGCAAAGCAAAACGCAUUCUUGAACAUCGAUUUGUCUUACUGCAGAGAAACGUUACUGGGGCCCAGUUGAGACUGCCAACUCAUCAUCCAGGCUGUGCGGAUGUCCCAUAAGCAACCUUUUGAUGUCAAGAGGCUAAGAACUCCACCCUCAGAUCAUGCUAACAGCCAUUUUGUGAGCAUGGGUCCCAUGAAGAGGCAUGAAGUCUGACUACGCUUGCACAGAUCGUCAAUUACCCGACCUCUCCUCACCUCCAGUCAUCUAUCUCCAGGCUUAAGACCACCUUGUCCUUUGCCCCGUAAAUAUCCCUGAGUCCCCAUUUUCUGGGAGGCAGAUUUGAGAUUCAUUCUCCCGUUUCCUCACUUGGCUGCCCUGUGA
Molecule: long non-coding RNA, 1714 nt
Organism: Equus quagga
Lineage: Eukaryota; Metazoa; Chordata; Mammalia; Perissodactyla; Equidae
Exons: 3
Source: RefSeq, a predicted model, not a curated record